GACGAACGCUGGCGGCGUGCUUAACACAUGCAAGUCGAACGGAAAGGCCCUGCUUUUGUGGGGUGCUCGAGUGGCGAACGGGUGAGUAACACGUGAGUAACCUGCCCUUGACUUUGGGAUAACUUCAGGAAACUGGGGCUAAUACCGGAUAGGAGCUCCUGCUGCAUGGUGGGGGUUGGAAAGUUUCGGCGGUUGGGGAUGGACUCGCGGCUUAUCAGCUUGUUGGUGGGGUAGUGGCUUACCAAGGCUUUGACGGGUAGCCGGCCUGAGAGGGUGACCGGCCACAUUGGGACUGAGAUACGGCCCAGACUCCUACGGGAGGCAGCAGUGGGGAAUAUUGCGGAAUGGGCGGAAGCGUGAUGCAGCAACGCCGCGUGCGGGAUGACGGCCUUCGGGUUGUAAACCGCUUUCGCCGGUGACGAAGCGUGAGUGACGGUAAUGGGUAAAGAAGCACCGGCUAACUACGUG
RNAcentral lists this ribosomal RNA (468 nucleotides) under uncultured bacterium. Its description in RNAcentral is "partial 16S ribosomal RNA". It matches the Rfam family "Bacterial small subunit ribosomal RNA", at positions 28 to 507 of the family's 1533-position model. The record is from RNAcentral.